Long non-coding RNA from Esox lucius (northern pike), 923 nucleotides. RefSeq lists it as uncharacterized. The transcript has 3 exons. The record is from RefSeq and is a predicted model, not a curated record. NCBI's taxonomy places the organism in Eukaryota, Metazoa, Chordata, Actinopteri, Esociformes, Esocidae.
CGCAGAGAUCAAAUACAAACGUCCCACGCGAAGUCUGCAGCUUCAAUUCCAGCAGAAUCCUCGCAACAAGGACGCCCUGUGUUGAAUGCUAGUUUUUGUCUGGUGAUGUCAUCUGAGAAUGGCAAUCCAGAGAGAUAUCCAGUUGUUUGGUUUUUUUCUUCAUUAUGGUUGGAUUACGUCAAAAUGUUUAUUUUGGACGUUGGUGCAACUCCUGAAUCAGCAUCGCACCAAUGUCCCCAUUGCCAGAAGGUUCUACAACUUUCCAGAGGCAGCUGACAGGCCAGUCCAUCCUCUGCACAGCUUCCUCCCAUCAGGACCUCAUUAGGGCAGGUAUUUAAGCGCUCCAAAGAAGCAGUUGUGGGCCAAGGUUAAGACAGCUGAAGAAGCCAAAGAAGAAGUAGCCAAAGAAGAGGAAGCCAAAGAACAAGAAAGUGAUGAUGAUGAAGAAGGAAGGAAAGCUUCAAGGGACAUGUCCACAACACAUUUCCCAGCAGUCCUUCAUGCCUCACUGCCUGAGCAUGGACAGACCACACCCAUUCCUCCAAAACCUCCCCAGAGACAAGCAGCCACAACAGCAGAGUGGUUUGUCUAUUUGGUUUUCAUAUUCCCUGUUCUUCCAUUGCUCUUUCUGCUAAUGAAAUGCCCUCCAGAGCCCUGAACACUUGUGAUUUGCCUGUUCCCUGUGUCUCUCUCGGUUACAAUAUAAUCAGGAUUAGUUACAUUCUUAAAAAUAGGUGAUUACAUUUGAGAUUACUUCAUCUGAUGCUUUAGUCAUCUUCUAAAACUUGAGAGAACAUUUUAGUAUUGUUUUUGUCAGCAAUGGCACUUCUGUUAAGGGUACAUUACAGGAUAUCUGGCCACUGGUUGUAAAAAAAACUUCUUCACUAUGAUUCCUGUAUAUGGAAAACAGUGAAAUUAAAGAA